CUUGGUCAUUUAGAGGAAGUAAAAGUCGUAACAAGGUUUCCGUAGGUGAACCUGCGGAAGGAUCAUUAUUGAUUGGUCGAAAGACCUUAUCAGAUUCUACCACCUCUGUGAACCGUUGACCUCCGGGUUAAUAAUCAAACAUCAGUGUAACGAACGUAAGAGUAUCUUAAUUAAACAAAACUUUUAACAACGGAUCUCUUGGCUCUCGCAUCGAUGAAGAACGCAGCGAAAUGCGAUAAGUAAUGUGAAUUGCAGAAUUCAGUGAAUCAUCGAAUCUUUGAACGCACCUUGCGCCUUUUGGUAUUCCGAAAGGCAUGCCUGUUUCAGUGUCAUGAAAUCUCAAUCUAAUAUGUUUUCUGAACAUGUUAGGCUUGGACUUGGGUGUCUGCCAGCAAUGGCUCACCUUAAAUGACUUAGUGGAACAUCCCACAUCAGUGUUAGACGUAAUAAGUUUCGUCUCUCCUUGUGGUGAUGACUGCUCAGAACCUGCCAUCGCGCAUCUUUUGACUUUGACCUGAAAUCAGGUAGGGCUACCCGCUGAACUUAAGCAUAUCAAUAAGCGGAGGA
RNAcentral lists this ribosomal RNA (567 nucleotides) under uncultured fungus. RNAcentral describes it as "eukaryotic LSU rRNA". The stretch from base 179 to 332 matches the Rfam family "5.8S ribosomal RNA". Lineage: Eukaryota; Fungi. The record is from RNAcentral.